AUUGCAGAACUCCGUGAAUCAUUGAAUCUUUGAACGCAACUUGCGCCCGGGGCUUGUCCGAGGGCAUGUCUGACUGAGCGUCUA
RNAcentral lists this ribosomal RNA (84 nucleotides) under Isoetes schweinfurthii. RNAcentral describes it as "partial 5.8S ribosomal RNA". It matches the Rfam family "5.8S ribosomal RNA", at positions 71 to 154 of the family's 154-position model. Rfam says of the family: 5.8S ribosomal RNA (5.8S rRNA) is a component of the large subunit of the eukaryotic ribosome. It is transcribed by RNA polymerase I as part of the 45S precursor that also contains 18S and 28S rRNA. Functionally, it is thought that 5.8S rRNA may be involved in ribosome translocation. Lineage: Eukaryota; Viridiplantae; Streptophyta; Lycopodiopsida; Isoetales; Isoetaceae. The record is from RNAcentral.